AAGGUAGAGUAAAAGUAAACUUAUCAAUCUAUUAGUCGUAAGAUUAAUUAUAUAUUUAUUCCUCCACCUUCUAAAGGCUAUAAUAAAAAAAUAUUUUUACCAAUGCUUCUUACUUUUAUAUCCUACAAUUACAUAAAAAAAAAAAAUUGUGUCUUCUAUUUAAAUACUAUAGCUUCAAAUACAUCCAUGCCUUGUUGAGGCCCAU
This 205-nucleotide long non-coding RNA is filed under the name Musa acuminata (dwarf banana). RNAcentral's name for it is "long non-coding RNA (MACU_LNC008054)". The record is from RNAcentral. Lineage: Eukaryota; Viridiplantae; Streptophyta; Magnoliopsida; Zingiberales; Musaceae.